Molecule: ribosomal RNA, 546 nt
Filed under: Triticum aestivum (bread wheat)
Lineage: Eukaryota; Viridiplantae; Streptophyta; Magnoliopsida; Poales; Poaceae
Description: partial small subunit ribosomal RNA
Source: RNAcentral
AUGGGUGUUGGCUCCAACAAUUCUCAUUGGUCUCAAACCAAUGAGAUGCAUUUCGAUGAUCAUGAGUUUGAGGUGGACGAGGAUGGUGAGGGCAUCGUAGAUGCACAUAAAGGAAGAGGGGGCAACUACACCAUGGGCGAAGACAUCUUGCUAUGCAAUACUUGGUUGCAAGUGUCGAGGGAUCCCGCCAUUGGAGGGGAUCAAAGUAGAGAUGCAUAUUGGCUCCGGAUGAAGGAACACUUUGAUCUACACAACAGAAGUGGAAUUGACCGCUCCGGAAGAUCUCUUCGCUCCCGGUGGUCGACAAUGAACGCACUUAAGGCGGUUGACACGUUGAACCCAAGUGGCACUAAUGAUAGAGAUAGGGUAAGUGCCAUUUCUUUCAUGAUUCUUCGAUGUUCAUCAUGCUUCUUCUUGGUGUUUCAAGGCCGAGGACUACAAAACCUAUUGCACAAAACCUAUUCCAAGGAGAGGAGAAGAGGAUCAAGAAAGGGAAGAUCAAGAAAGGGAGACCAUUUACCUUCCCUCAUUGCUAUGAAGAACUGA